CUGCAGCUCAAGUGGUGACCACUAUUAUUGGGCCUAAAACGUUCGUAGCCGGUUUGGUAAAUGCCUGGGUAAAUCGUGUAGCUUAACUAUACGAAUUCCGGGUAGACUGCCAAACUUGAGACCGGGAGAAGCUAGAGGUACUCCUGGGGUAGAGGUGAAAUUCUGUAAUCCUAGGGGGACCACCAGUGGCGAAGGCGUCUAGCUAGAACGGGUCUGACGGUGAGGGACGAAGCCCUGGGGCACAAACCGGAUUAGAUACCCGAGUAGUCC
RNAcentral lists this ribosomal RNA (270 nucleotides) under uncultured archaeon. Its description in RNAcentral is "partial 16S ribosomal RNA". It matches the Rfam family "Archaeal small subunit ribosomal RNA", at positions 477 to 747 of the family's 1478-position model. The record is from RNAcentral.